UAUCUCAGAGAGAAUGUCAGUAGUUCCAUUUUAUAUAUUUCCUGAAUUAUUUCCUUCCAUUCGGUGAUUGUUGGAGGUUCCUUAUUCAACUUUUUUCUGGUGAUUGCCUUUUUACUACCAGCUAGUCGUAUUUGUGCCAUUGACUGUAUAUACAAUGGACAACUUGGCUCCGCCCUCCGCCUGUAUACGGAUUUGUAGCAAAAAAGCUCUUGGUAUUUCUGUUUGUUUUUUUCCACUUUUUGAAACCAACAUUGCGCAGACUUGCUGUGAUGACACUCGGCUCAAACAGCGUAUCCCUCGGGUGAUCUACGCAAUCCUUGUACGCCCAUAGGUUGUAUCAAGUGUCAAUCAUAGAAAACAUGAACCCCCUAAUAUUUUUUAAAAAUGGUGCUUCACAGAAAAAAGAGGACUUGAGCACAAACCAGUCUGACAAUAACUACAUGUCAACAUCACAAACGGGGGAGAAAAAUUUAUGUUCUGUGUAAUAAAUUUCUAAAGUUCGUCCACAGCUCCAUAGGGAUUGCUGGAGGAGGCGGGAUUUAUGACCUAUUCUGCAGUCCAUCACCAGAGGGAGCUGUUCUCGGGGUGGCUUCACCCAGCGAGGAGGCGGACUCUGUCCAUUCUAUAUACAGUCUAUGGCAUCUCUACAGGCAGAGACUGAAAGAGGAAAAGUAUUCUGGGUAAUAUGUUCAUGUUAACGACAGCUAUUUGAUUGUUCAUAUUCAUUGGGAGUAGUGACCAACGCUUUAGUCCUAUGGUAAAUUUACACCUAAACAUUCAAUAACAGAGUCUUUCCAUUUAAAUGUAGUCAGUUUACGUAUGUUUUCUGUUGGUAUGUAAUUAAAUGUAAGAGUUUGAGUUUUAUUAAGAUUUAACUUGUAACCAGAGUGGGAGCCAAAUGUUUGAAGUAAGGAUAGUAAUUUGGGCAAACAAGUGGUAUUUUUUCAGGUGUUUAAAUCUUUAUAACUACUACAAAUACAGUCAGAUAGAAAAUUCUGGCAUCACAUCAACGGCCCAUGAACUCAAAAAACCUUGAGAAAAUAAAUUAAGUGGAACAGCAGCUAAUCUGACCGCAAUACCAGAAAUGUAGAUCAAAUAAACCAACAAAUCAUCAUUGAGGUGAAUAUUAUGAUAAAAAAAGUUUGUAACAGGAUAAAAGUCGACUGAGGUUGAUUUUCCCAACAGUAGGACACAACACCAACUUCCAACAGUAGGACACAACACCAACUCGACAUGUGAGCCAUCCUAAAGGUGAACGCUGCAGAGUUACACACCCAAUCCUUUUAACAGCCCUGAUGCCGGACACCUCACUGUCGGGUGUGUGUGUGUGUGUGUGUUGGGGGGAGAGCACUCCAUCACUUUAAUUGUAUUUGUUGUUAUGGACAAGCUCUUCAUUCCUUAACUGUAUCAAAGAGUGAAAGAGGCGACAUGUUGUGUCACUCAAUCAGCAUAAUUGUAUGUAAGAGUCACCAUUCAACCUUGGAUCCAUCGAACACUGUGAGCAGAGGGCAGGAACAACUUCAUCCACACAAGCUGAACUUAUGGUCCCUCCUUUGUCCCUGCAGGACCACCUUUGAGUUUUAAAGGAAAUCUCAUUUAAUUAAAUCCCAAAUAAGGAGCUGCUGUAUCUGUUUAUCUGAAACCGCCUGGCCUGAUGUGAUCUCUUCACCACAGAAGAACUACAGGAGGAUGGACCCAGCAGGACGAGUGAAAAGGUGGAAUUUUGUGCACUUUUAUUUGUGUAUCUUCUUCCAAAAUACACCAGUUUCAAAUAUCUGUGUGCUUCAGAAUGUGUUAGGGUAAAUGUAGAAAAAAUGUAGCAUACUAUGUGUAGAUGGGGGAAUAUUUAGCAGUAUAACUGUCAGAUUCUAGUCCAAAGUGCCCCCUUGAUCAAUCCUCCUUAAGUGGCCUUUAAGAACCAGAAGCUCUUCACACGUAUGAUCCUUCAUUUGUCAAGUUUUUACAAACAAAUAAUAAAAAAAAGGAGAAUUCGACGUGGCCAAUAACCAAACACUAAAACGUGUCUGUUACUAGUUUGUCCCUUUUGUGCACCUGUAGAAACAUCACAGUACACCCUGACCUACUCCUCAUUUAGAGCCAAAAAUUUAAACAAUGUCUGUCUCUGGACUAAAACCUGCUCUGUAUAGACACUUGAGUCCACAUGGAUACAAAUAUAUAAAAUAUAUAGGUUUCCAUGGAAACAUAAAGUUGAAACUGAUGGUAGAGAGCAGAUGGAAACUGGUGCGUUUCAAAAAUAUGAUGUCAGUGAUUCCUAAAACAAAGUUUUUGUUGCCCCCACAAAUUUAUUCAGAACGACGCACCGACUAAAACCCGAGUCUACAGCUAUCAAAGACUCUUACUUUGUUUCUCUGAAUGAACUGCGCUCACACUGAAAGCUUAACUCUUGACAUGAAGCUCCAGAAAAAUCUGUUUGUCUCAUAUGGUCCAAAGUUUGCCUUCAACAUCCUGAUUUUCUCGUGAAAACCCCCCUCGCACAACAUCUUGAUAAUUAACUCUAUUGGCUGCCUCAGACUCCAUUUGUUACAUUCACAUGUAAAGCACAGGAGGGGCAGGGGGUGUGUGUGUGUUGUAGACCAGUUGUCAGAGGUGUCAGAUGGUCGCUGACACACACACUCUCACAUCCAUUCUCCUGCAUGACCUGGUGUGUGUUCAGGACUCAGCAAAGCAGUGUGGAGGAGUCCAUCUGCUCAUGUGUUCAAUACCACUUUCUCCAAAUGCACACAUGCCGGGCAAGCCAAUUAGCAAAAUGAGGGAUUUUUUUUUUUCCUGGGUGGUGAUUUGCAUGUUUUAUGGUGAACACAUGCUUCUCAUAGUCCCAUUAAUGGGCUGAAAUGAAGAAAUCGGCUAUUUAAACAGCAGAACUGAUUCGGACUCAGAGUCACAGAGGACUGUUUGAUAUUUUAGUUUGUGGUUCUCGUUCAUUUAUUAAAUAUGGCUUUGAUAUUCAUGUGUUUUGAAAAUGACAAAGCAAUAAUUUCAGUGCAGCAAGUUUGACUGUUUUGAACUGAUUUGCUGGAGAUUUUAAUAAACAAACAUGUGAAAAUGAACAUUUAUGAAGUGUAAAAAAAGACUCAGUCAGGAGCGCAUUUUGAGCUGCUGUCAGUCCAGUUUCUGUUUGAAGUGCGUUAAUCACACUGACAGACUUCUUCCGCUGGUAACGCUGGUUUCACUGUAAAUCUCAGCAGAGUGAGGGUUUACUCAGCCAGUCUAACCAGUUCAGCUGAUGAUGGUAUGUGCUGCUCUCAGUUUCAUUCAUAUUGAACAGUUUUCCCUCUCUGAAAGACAGCUCAAGAAAAACAGGCAGAGGAGGAGGUGCAGAGCAGAUCUGUUCAAAUGUGUUUAUGUUCUGAUAACAGUCAAUAAGAAGUCUGUCAUUUUAAUCAAGGUUAAUAAAGCAAAUAAACUUCAUACUUCAAGUCAACAUAUGAGCUUAUAUUUAGUUUCAGAUAAAUAGUAUGUCACUCAUUUGUAUAUUGGUAUAAAGAAAAAAUUGAUGUUAACAGUAUAUAACAGAGAUGAGUAGUAAAUGAAUUCUUGUCGAGGUGUAUUUUUUCAUUUAAACUGAACCAGGAAAGUCUCACUGAGAUCAAAAGUCUGUUCGUCAGCAGCAUGUUCAGACAAAGUUACAGACACGCAAAACAGUAAAACACACGUCAACCUUUCCUUCCUCGUAUGACAGGAAGUCAUCAGUUAAAGCGUCUGCUGCCUGAUUCCUCCUUUUCCAACACCUUCACUCUGAGACCAGCUCUUAGCCGCUUUCAUAACUCCUUUUUGCCCAUUUCAGGACCGACUGUGGGGACAGAGAGGGGAGCAAGUAAGGAACCACCUCACAAACAAGCACAUGCGGUGAUUGAGUCUGUCUGUAGACAGAACAGGCCAGCACAUGUCGAGUUUGUAAUAAACCACAGAGCGCUCACUCUGGCAAACCUGAGAAGGAAAUUUUUUUUGAGUGAUCCUAAUAUUUAAUAUCUUUAUCUUCAGAUGAGCCGUUUUUCUAAACCCGUCAGGUGGACAGGGGUGAAUGAAUCCUAAAAAGACACCUUCAACUUGUGAGUCUUGACCUCCGUAUCUUGACUGUAGUUAUCAGCACGUUGGCUUAAUAUCUCAAGCUGCUUGUUUUUGGAGGCAAUUCUGCAGACUGACAGCCAAUCAGGUUAAGUCAGCAUGUCUGACAUAGCAACAGGAGUGAAACAGACAGCAGCAGCAGCAUGCAGCACGCAACCACCAAUAACUGCUGCAGUUUACAGACAGACCAGUUCAUUGGUUGGCCGGGUGGAUUAAUGGCACGAGGAUAAAUUGGCAUCAUAUCUGCAUCGGCCCUCCUCACAAGGUCAAAAUCGCUCUUAAAAACCCAUUCUUUUACAGUCCCUGAGUUUGACACUAAUUUAGCGUACAUGUAGAAAAUAGAUCAGCUCUGACAGCAAUACCAGCCAUUCUCUGAAAUGUUUAACACCACCUAAUAAUUGCCUCUCCAUCUAAAACAUGUCACUGGCAAAGUAAACUGUAUAUAAGAGUGAAAGUAUCUCAUUUUGAAGUACGAUUUGGAAGCUGCUGUAAAAAAACAGAUGUUAGGGUUUUGUAUUCCUGAUCUGUAAAUUCAUUUAAAUUGGCCUGCAAUGUUUCCAUGAAUAAGCGUCCUCUCCACGUCCAGGCAAAAGCAAUAAAGCAGAAUGAGUCAGUGGGAGAUGGAGAGUCUCCCCCUCGGAGUGGGGUCACUGAGGCUGUAAAUUUCCCUCCCUGUGUGACAGAGCGUCUGCAGCCUUCUGCAGCGCGGCCUGCCUGUUCUCUGGUUGUAAGGUGACGGAAUGUCCUCCCCCCUCUCUCUUCUCAGUCUCAACCCCUCCACCCUCCCUCCCUCCCUCACACACACACCCACACUCACCCUCAGCACCAUUAUGAAAUCCCAGCAGAUGGCCAGGAGACAAAGAGUAUGUGAGGGUGAGAGACCCUCAUUCUCCCAACCACAGCUCGUGGAGCCGGCAGUCUGCUUUAUUCCAGCUCAAACUUCUCUACAACCCCCCCUAACCCUCUCACAUACUUCUGAGCCACGUGUCUCUCAAUUAGGACAAAUCAACACUCACUCACUCCAUCCCUCGCUCAUACAGAUGUAGGGAUUUAGCCUCUUUCUCUCUUUCCAGCGAAACAAGCUCACUUAAUGCGCAGACAUUAGCCUAAAUGAUUCCCGGUGUCCUUUAUCAGGGCGAGAGCUCCAACCAUUUGGGGCCCUGCAGCAGGUAAUUCUUCUUUUAACUGAGCAAUUGAAUCAGUUGGCGCUGAAGGGCUAUUUGGCAAAGAGCCAUUUAGUGUAAGUGCUCUCAAGGCCGGCAAAUGACACUUGUAGAGACAAUGUCACCCCUAUGACACCAUCAGUUGAUUGUGUAUUGAACAGAUACGGAGGAGCGCGGUAGGCCCCAGGCCAGGAAUAUGCAGUAUUAUUGGCAGGGCAAAGUGCAAGGCGAGCAUCCUGGCGGGCAGAGAUUCAGGCGAGCUCUGCGGAGGCUUCUGUCAAUAUCAGGAGCCAAGGUUGCCAGGACAGACUCUGAGGUGAUGAACAAGUUUAUUUGACUGAUAUGUGCAGCAGAUCAUUUUUUACUGACUGCAGCAAAGUGACAACUCUUAUUCCAGAAAUGCUCUCAACAUGCCGAGAAAAAGUCCUUGUUUGAGGUAACCUCCUGCUGAGUCACACCAGGUUAAAAAACACCAAAGUCCAUCAGAGUUGGACAUAAUUCAACAAAUGAAUUAAAGUCAAAUCUGAUCAACUACAAACAAAGUUUAUUUAGCUUAAAGUGAGAUUCCGGUGUAAAUUUAAAUUAUGAUCAAACACACUGUAACACUGAGUUAGACACCCCCUCCAGAGAUGAGUGUUGCUGACUGCUUCCUUCUCUAGUUAUACCAACUUCAGUAACGGCCGCAAUACACAGCGGUCUACGUCUUUACAUGCAAACCUCAACCAAAACGCCA
This is a non-coding RNA of Xyrichtys novacula (pearly razorfish), 5982 nucleotides long. The record is from the annotation of a GenBank genome assembly. NCBI's taxonomy places the organism in Eukaryota, Metazoa, Chordata, Actinopteri, Labriformes, Labridae.